Molecule: ribosomal RNA, 283 nt
Filed under: uncultured bacterium
Lineage: Bacteria
Description: partial 16S ribosomal RNA
Rfam family: Bacterial small subunit ribosomal RNA
Source: RNAcentral
UUGCCUACGGGAGGCAGCAGUGAGGAAUAUUGGUCAAUGGGCGCGAGCCUGAACCAGCCAAGUAGCGUGAAGGAUGACUGCCCUACGGGUUGUAAACUUCUUUUAUAAAGGAAUAAAGUGAGGCACGUGUGCCUUUUUGUAUGUACUUUAUGAAUAAGGAUCGGCUAACUCCGUGCCAGCAGCCGCGGUAAUACGGAGGAUCCGAGCGUUAUCCGGAUUUAUUGGGUUUAAAGGGAGCGUAGACGGGACAGCAAGUUAGUUGUGAAAGCCCUCGGCUUAACUG